AAACAUCUUUAGUAUUUUUAUUCAUUUUUUUAAUGUUUUUACUGACACAUUUGCCAACUGUUCUAAGUAACAUAACCUUUUUUUUUUCUUCUUUCUUUGCUGUUACACACUCAUUUUACUCAGUGCCAACUAACCUCUUUCAUUUCUUUUUUAGAAUAAGAAUCCUCGACUAUAUACACCUAACCUCCACCAUUCCUCAUCAAC
Molecule: long non-coding RNA, 204 nt
Filed under: Lathyrus oleraceus (garden pea)
Lineage: Eukaryota; Viridiplantae; Streptophyta; Magnoliopsida; Fabales; Fabaceae
Description: Pisum sativum (pea) long non-coding RNA (PSAT_LNC023255)
Source: RNAcentral